UUGAAUAGCUGACGGGUGAAUGUCUUUUGGCGGCAGGAAUGCAACAGUGUAAAUGCUAUAGAGUUCAAAGAAAUUAUGUCCUCAAGGCUAAAUUCAAACAGUGUAUUAACAGGACAACAAACACUGAUUUUCUUUUUCUGAUAUUACUCCGAAUGAGAGGAAAUGAUAGGAACAUCAUCAAGGGAUUUGUAAUAUUAUUUUGGUGAUAACCAGCGCAAGAAUUAACCUGGUGCUGAAUAAGAUGUUAUACCCUAUGGAAUACCACCACAUAUUGCAUGUACAGGUC
Long non-coding RNA from Lytechinus variegatus (green sea urchin), 286 nucleotides. RefSeq lists it as uncharacterized. The record is from RefSeq and is a predicted model, not a curated record. The transcript has 2 exons. NCBI's taxonomy places the organism in Eukaryota, Metazoa, Echinodermata, Echinoidea, Temnopleuroida, Toxopneustidae.